UUAAGCUUUGCUUUAAAUGAAUCUGUGUGUGUUCUGUUUUGGAUCACUUCCUGAAGCCAAUACUCAUCGACCUCAAAGGACCUCUCUGAGAUCUAAAACGAUGUCUACCCAUGGAGAUAACAUUUAGGGAGACUACAACUGUGUUGUAAAAUUCUUGUCUAAAAUCCACUUCUCUUUAAAAACAAUCAUUGUUAUCUUUCAGGAAACAAAUCACACGCAAUUAUGUAACUGUGUUUAUAUUUUCUGUUAGAAGUCUUAGAGAACACAAUCAAGGUGAUCUAUGCCCCGUGUGUGCUUCUCAGAUUAGCAACAUCACCUGGGAGUGUGUUAGAGAUGCAGAGUCCCAGGCCCCACCACAGGCCUCCUGGAUCAGAAUCUGCAUUUUCACCAGAUCCCCAGUCCUCUAUGGAGAGCGAGAUUCAGAAACAUCCAGAAAGGGCAAGUCAGGUCUGUUGAAUGAAGUCUGCGAUCAUUGGCUAAUUUAAAACAAAACAGCCCUACAGCCCAACCCACAUGCAAUCACCCUGCUGCCUUCUGCAGAUGAGUUUUCUAUCAGAGCUGCUAUCUGAGGACAUUUAUCCUCUGCUUCCUGGGCUUAGAGCACAGGUAGAUUUAAAGCUCUCUUUCGUAUGAUUUGUCACGAAGUAACAAUAACUGAUAGAUGAUCUCCUUCCUCCUGGAGAUGGAGCGAGCUAAUGAGAUUUGACGACUGCCUCUGGUUACAGACCCAGGACUAAUGAAUGCACUAGUGACUCCACUGACCCCAGUCAACUGAUUUUUAUUGACAGCCUGUUGACAUAACAAACUAAGGGUUGGUGAUUUAAGCUGUUUCUAAGCCCUUAAAUAAAUAAGGCCUUUUCUAAUAGUA
Long non-coding RNA from Lemur catta (Ring-tailed lemur), 868 nucleotides. RefSeq lists it as uncharacterized. The transcript is spliced from 2 exons. The record is from RefSeq and is a predicted model, not a curated record. Lineage: Eukaryota; Metazoa; Chordata; Mammalia; Primates; Lemuridae.